Lycium barbarum (goji berry) is the source of this 1522-nucleotide long non-coding RNA. RefSeq lists it as uncharacterized. Lineage: Eukaryota; Viridiplantae; Streptophyta; Magnoliopsida; Solanales; Solanaceae. The record is from RefSeq and is a predicted model, not a curated record. The transcript has 2 exons.
AGAAGGGUACCGGAACCGGGCCGGUUAGAGCCAAACCGACUGGCUAACCAGUACCGGUUAACCGGUAACCGUCAAGCGUGAACGGUUUGGAAAUUGGUAACCGGUUGGUUUGCUAACCAGAACCGAAACUGGUCCCGGGUCAACCGGUUGACUAGCUUACAACAUCCAAUGAUUAUAAAUCCUAGUACUAAUAUUAAUUUCAUCGCAUAUCCGAACUCUAAAAAUUUUGUUCGGACUUAAUUUGUAUUUUUUAGUUCAAGCAAAUAAUUUAGUGCAGUUAAAAAUUUAUCAUUUUCUACAAAUGAUUAAGUGCAAUUAAAUUUUAACUAUUUUCAUAAUAAUUAAUAACCAAUAAUACAUGUAUAAGUCAUCUGAUUAGUUACUUAUACUAGUAAUAUAAUAUAAGAAUAAAAAAAAAAAAAAUCCAAAUCAAAAAACGGAAGAAGUCCUAUAAAUUGGGAAGUGUCCAAAGAGAAAAAGAAGAAAAAGUUAAAACUAUGCCGCCAAAACCAUAUACCUCAAUUUCAUAGGCUCCGCGCCAUUAUUCAGUUUCAACCCACGUUCAUAGUUCACAAUUCCAUUGUUUUCUCAAUUAAAAGAUAAUCUCAAACUACAGUGUCCAGCAAUUCAUCUGUGCUCUUGGAUUCUCUAUUCGGCUAAGUGGUAAUUAUUCUUUAUCAAUCUCAAUUUACAGAAUACAUUAUAUUUCUGCAGGUUAUUGUUGAACUUUCAAACUUACUGUCUAAAAAUUGUGUUGUAUCUGGUUCUUUAAAGUGACGUUAUAUUGAGCCUGCAAUUAGAAGUAAUUUAGAUCGAAAGCUACAGUACAUCUUAGAUUAAGCAAGCCAUCUAUUUGGGAGAGCUGGAAGCCUAACUGGGAGACUGAGGCUUUUAAGGCCAAAUCUACACAAUGUUCAAGAGAUUGACUAAGUGAGAAAUGUAGCCAAGGAUUUGACCAUACAUGAGGCUCUUGCACUCACCGGUGUAUGCAAGACUGCCUGCAGAUUAAUUCACCGAGCCUCCAACAAUUGAGUUUUCACAAAUUUACUUGGAUGAAGUGGGUGAGUUAAGAAGGCAUGCACUUAUGACCUUGUUUCUCUGGCAGCUUUCCAAGGAAAUGUUGGUGCAUCAUCCUCUUCGACUUCUCGACUUCAAGAUCGUGAUUUUGACGUUCGGGUGAAGGAAUGCGUUGUAUACCGUUUACAAGAGAUUAAGGAUGAGAUGAAGCAUGACAUGAGAGAAGAUGAGACAAGAAAUGAGAGAAGAAAUAAGACAAGAAAUGAGACACGAAAUGCAGCGAUAGGUGCACAAGCAAGUAGAUAAGAUUCUACAAGCCUAUAUGUCAGUUCUCAUUGCUAGCCUACCUAUAAUGUCCACUUGUAUACUACAUCAGUUUAGACACGCGUCAUCAAUUAAAUAAGGAUACGGGUUAUAUUUAAAUAGUUUUAACUCUUUAUCUUAGACUAUUGCAUUGUUAUUCAAAUUAUGGUUUAUAAAAGGACUACUAAUAUUGUUGGAUUUA